RNAcentral lists this long non-coding RNA (2286 nucleotides) under Malus domestica (apple). RNAcentral describes it as "long non-coding RNA (MDOM_LNC013121)". The record is from RNAcentral. Lineage: Eukaryota; Viridiplantae; Streptophyta; Magnoliopsida; Rosales; Rosaceae.
UUUGAUUUAAAUGUUGUAAUAUGUUACAAGCUUUAUUCUUGUUUCUUUGAAUGUAAAUUUUGUUAGAAAAUUUGCCAUCUCAAAUGUUGUAGAUGUAGUUCAUAUGAGCAUGAAUAUUGGAGCUAAAUUUUGGUGCCAUGUUUUUGGGAAUUUUCGGCCAAAUCCAAAGGGUGGAUUUUUGGGUUCUUGUUUGACUUGUUAAAAGUGUUUUCAAGUAACUUUUGGAACCCCUAUGUACCCUAGUUUGGUUAUAUGUUAUUUCCCUUAAGUUUGAAUGGUUUUGGGAUGUUUUUGGAUGAAAAAUGUUCAUGGAAAUUUUUUGGGUUUUUCAUGAAUGUUCUUCAUUGUUCUUGACAUUUUUGCCAAGAACAAAAAGUUUGGUGUUUUGAUUCAAAGUUUUGAUUUAUUUCAUAAAGUUUAUGUUUUAUGUUUUUCAAAUGUUUAAAUGUAUUAGAUAUUUGUUUAGAAAGGUGGUAGAAUUAUUGGUGGGUGUGUAAGGAUUAAUUCCUUUUCACACACACCACUUGCACCACUUGCAUGCUUUAUGUCAAAACUCACAAAUCAACACACACAUCACUCAUUUCCCUCUCCAAAACCGGCCACUCCCUCAAUGGGAGUACUUUUGAGGCUUUUAUGCAAUUAAAUAAAGUUUUGAUACUUUUGUGUAUUUGCACUUUGGCCCAAAAGUGUACGUUUUUACGUUUAGGUCCAAAAACGCUAAAGGACAAAUUGUUUUGCUCCUUUAAUGAAGUUUUUGCAUUGUUUAAAUUUUGGGCUCUAGUUGUAAUUACAUGAAGUAGUGGACUUUUGUGUUUUUACAAAGUGACCCCAAAAGUUUAUGUUUUUGCAAUAUAGCCCAAAAGUUGAGGUUAUUGCAUUUGGCCCAAAUUAAGUUGGGAACAAAAUUGUUUUGUCUCUUUAAAUGAGAAUUGGAUUUUCAUUUCAUUUAGCUCCAUUUAAAUCAAUUUUAUGGAUACAAAAACCAAAUGAAAAUGUUUCAUUCAAUUUAAUUAGUUAAAGUGUUAAUUGAUUAAAGAGUGAUUAUGAACCUAAGCCUACGAUAAUUGAGCUAUGUGAAAGGCCGUUUCAAAUUUUUUUGAACCAUGAGAAUGUGUAGAUUAGAUUUUGGUUGUAAUUUGAUUUGAUCAAAUGUUGUAAAAGAGCAUAAGCUCUUCUUUACUUUAAAGUAAUUUGUUUUGAUCAAUUGUUGUAAAAGAGCAUAAGCUCUUCUUUACUUUAAAGUACUCAUUUUCUUGUUUUAUUUGAUAUGCAUGAAAAUGGAGUAGAGGGUCCAACGCCCCUAAGACAACACGCCUUAAUGUGAUUAAACGCAUAACUAAAAUCAAUCACCUUCCCUAGAUCGAGAUUCAACACUAGGCUCGUGUUGAAUCUAAACAAAGGUUCAUAGUCAUCCUAAGGCCCUAAGGCAACUAUAUAGUCCAUCAAAUGAAUGCAAAGUUUAUGUUAGUAGUAUCAUAUACUCUUACUUUAAAAACCGUUUUAUAAGCAUAGUGGGAGUAUUAUAUACAACUAAAUUCAAUCAAAUGGACCAAUAGUUGUAAUAGGACCAAAAUUGUUUUAAUAAAGAUUAAAAAGAAUAUUUAUAUGUGAUGAGACCUAAAAACCCUCAACCAAACCAUUAUUAAGUUGAUAAGCGUGAGAGUGCUUUGAACACUUUUUCGUGGCCUUCCACCGUGGUAGGCUCCAAUCGUUUAUGACUUGUACACCGCCUUCCCCCUAUCAUGGGGGAGUGCAAAGUGCAUGCUUAUACUCAGGAGGAGUUUAUUUAAAACAUUUGAUGAGGUUAAGGUAGGCAACGAAUGUGGCCAACAUCGUAUCAUCGUGAGGUCAUACUUGAACCCCUAUCUAAACCGGCAUGGUGGGAAAGAACUUAACUAAGAGAAAUGAUGCCAACAUCGUAUCAUCGUGAGGCAUUGUUUUCUAGAGGCCAAAAAGAUGGGUAAUCACAAGAGGUUGUUGUGAAUGAGUAAGCGUACUCUGUCAUUAUUAUUAAUGCUAGCCAACAUCAUAUCAUUGUGAGGUGGGCUUGGUAGUAGUGAGUCUCCCAUACCCUACUAAGAGUUACCUCCAAAACUCUCGAAUUCCAAUGAGGGAUAUGGAAUUUGCCAAAAAUAGUGGGUGGUGCUAUUUGAUUUAAAGACCCGGAUCAAGUGGCUUAAAAUCAAUCAAUUUAUAUUCGUUAUGUAUUUAUUUACCAAUAUAUUUGCAAACGCUAUCCAAAACUUGACUAAGAAAAGCCGAAUGCUUUAGUUUCCGGACUUGGUA